This 1189-nucleotide long non-coding RNA is filed under the name Calidris pygmaea (Spoon-billed sandpiper). Its description in RNAcentral is "lncRNA (ENSCPGG00000009638.1)". Lineage: Eukaryota; Metazoa; Chordata; Aves; Charadriiformes; Scolopacidae. The record is from RNAcentral.
AACCCGAGGAAGAUCCUUCCCAGUAUGUUCGUGGUUUUGUUGGUUUGUUGUUUUUUUUUUUUUCCCCAUCACUGUAGCUUUUGAAAUAUGUGUUUGAAGGUAGAAGCAGGUUUAAUGGGCCAAGGGAAAAGCAUAAAACCAGGCACUAAUUGGCUCAGUGAAAAGCGAAACCGGGGCUGAGCUCCGAUUCCGGACGAUCUGCAGCUCCCAUCGCUCUUGUCAGCUCGCUGGGGCUCUGAUGAGGAAGCGUUAACGCAAGCGGUGAUGAAUCAUUACAGUCGGGGCUUUAAGAGUAAGGAAAAAAUAAGCAAACAACCUACCAGGAGGGAAAAAAAAAAAAAAACCCCCACAAAAACCAACCACAACAACCUGCUGGAAGCCGGGAAAAAUUUUCUAAGGAGUCUGUAAGGAAGAAGCCGGUGUCGGUGCGUGGGGAAGAGCAGGAGGCAGCUCCUUUUCCCGGACAACUCCAAGCUGGUCCGGCAGCCGAGGGCUGUUUUCCUGCUGCUGCUUCCCAGUAGGGAACUGGCAGCCGCUCCCAGUAGGGACAAGGACCAGCAGAGCCCAGCUGGUGCCCGUGCCCAAACCCUGCGGGAGCCAAACCUUCAGGCCAGCGUCCACCUUUGGGAAGAAGGAGGUUUUAAAGCCAGGGAUCGGAGCCGUUCCUUCCCCCUGGCAGGAGCAGCCGGGAGCGGGCUCUGCUCUGCAGGAACUGGGAGCGGGAGCCAGGCACCACUUGGCCUUCCACAGCAAACCAGUGCCAGCAGCUUUCCUGGCCUCCCCUCCAUCCCAGCGCCUUUCUGCUCCAUCCCAGUGCUCCCCUCCAUCCCAGCGCCUUCCUGCUCCAUCCCACUCCCUCUCCUCCAUCCCAGUGCCUUCCUGCUCCAUCCCAGUGACUUUCUGCUGCAUCCCAGUGCCUUUCUGCUCCCUCCCAAUGCUCCCCUCCAUCCCAGUGCUUUCCUGCUCCAUCCCAGUGCCUUCCCCCUCCAUUCCAGUGCCUCCCCUCCAUCCCAGUGCCUCCCAUCUAUCCCAGUGCCUCCCCUCCAUCCCAGUGCCUCCCAUCUAUCCCAGUGCCUUCCCCCUCCAUUCCAGUGCCUCCCCUCCAUCCCACUCCCUCCCCUCCAUCCCAGUGCCUCCCACCUAUCCCAGUGCCUCCCCUCCAUCCCACUGUCUUCCCACUCCACCCCAG